Molecule: ribosomal RNA, 774 nt
Filed under: uncultured Neocallimastigales
Lineage: Eukaryota; Fungi; Neocallimastigomycota; Neocallimastigomycetes; Neocallimastigales
Description: partial large subunit ribosomal RNA
Rfam family: Eukaryotic large subunit ribosomal RNA
Source: RNAcentral
CGCAUCUGUGCAUGCAGCAUAUCAAUAAGCGGAGGAAAAGAAACUAACAAGGAUUCCCCUAGUAACGGCGAGUGAAGCGGGAAGAGCUCAAAUUUGAAAUCUUAAAGGGUUUCCCUUUACGAAUUGUAGUUUAAAGAAGUGUUUUCUGUUGAGGUUUUGGUAAAAGUUCUUUGGAAUAGGACAUCAUAGAGGGUGAGAAUCCCGUAUUUGACCUUUACUUUCAACUUUGUGAUACACUUUCAAAGAGUCGGAUUGUUUGGGAAUGCAGUCCAAAAUGGGUGGUAAAUUUCAUCUAAAGCUAAAUAUUGGCGAGAGACCGAUAGCGAACAAGUACCGUGAGGGAAAGAUGAAAAGAACUUUGAAAAGAGAGUUAAACAGUACGUGAAAUUGUCAAAAGGGAAGCGUUUGACACCAGUGUUGUUUUUCUGAAAAUCAAUUAAAGAACUGUUUAUGCUAAGUUGUUUAGACUUUAUCAGCUAACUGUUUAGUUUUGAGCUUUUCUUUAAUGCACUUUUCAGUUAACAAGUCAACAUCAAUUUCUUUUGCUGUAAAAAAGCUUGAGGAAGGUGGCUUGAGAUUCGUCUUAAGUGUUUAUAGCCUCUUGCCUAUGCAGUCGGAGAGAUUGAGGUCUGCAGCGUAGAUCCUUCGGGGCUAAAUGCAUUUGUGCUAAGUUAUAGCAUUUUAUAGACAACUUGUUGACUAUGAUUUGUCUUGUAGCUUACUCGCUUAUGUUAUUUUACCUACGCUUAGGAUGUUGAGUCAUCACACAUCUCU